AGAUUGAACGCUAGCGGGAUGCUUUACACAUGCAAGUCGAACGGCAGCGCGGACUUCGGUCUGGCGGCGAGUGGCGAACGGGUGAGUAAUAUAUCGGAACGUGCCCAGUAGCGGGGGAUAACUACGGCGAAAGCGUAGGCUAAUACCGCAUACGCCCUACGGGGGAAAGGGGGGGAUUACGUUCGGGAGUCCGUCUCACUACUUGGAGCGGCCGAUACUCAGAUUAGCUUGUUGGUGAGGUAAAGGCUCACCAAGGCCGCGAGUCUGUAGCUGGUUUGAGAGGACGACCAAGCCACACCUGGGACUGGAGACGACGGCCCAGACCUCCGUAACGGGGAGCAGGCAGGUGGGAAUUUGGAACAAGUGGGGGAAAACCCUGACUCCGAAGCCUAAGUCCCGCGUAGUCGACGA
RNAcentral lists this ribosomal RNA (411 nucleotides) under uncultured soil bacterium. RNAcentral describes it as "bacterial SSU rRNA". It matches the Rfam family "Bacterial small subunit ribosomal RNA", at positions 26 to 411 of the family's 1533-position model. The record is from RNAcentral.